AAACUUUCAACAAUGGAUCUCUUGGUUCCGGCAUCGAUGAAGAACGCAGCGAACUGCGAUAAGUAAUGUGAAUUGCAGAAUUCAAUGAAUCAUCGAGUCUUUGAACGCACAUUGCGCCCCCUGGCACUCCGGGGGGCAUGCCUGUCCGAGCGUCAUUG
This 158-nucleotide ribosomal RNA is filed under the name Aspergillus sp. LS-2016. Its description in RNAcentral is "5.8S ribosomal RNA". It matches the Rfam family "5.8S ribosomal RNA". From Rfam's summary of the family: 5.8S ribosomal RNA (5.8S rRNA) is a component of the large subunit of the eukaryotic ribosome. Lineage: Eukaryota; Fungi; Ascomycota; Eurotiomycetes; Eurotiales; Aspergillaceae. The record is from RNAcentral.